Molecule: long non-coding RNA, 541 nt
Filed under: Mytilus galloprovincialis (Mediterranean mussel)
Lineage: Eukaryota; Metazoa; Mollusca; Bivalvia; Mytilida; Mytilidae
Source: RNAcentral
AUCAAAUUAUUUAAAGUUUAUAAAAAAAUAAAAAGUUGAAAAUACACAAAAUCAGAAAUUGUCUCAUUGCAAUGAAUCCUUGUGCUAAUAUGUGUCAUUUUGAAGUUCUUCUUUCAAACUGUCCCAUAUUAAUUUCUGGCAUUUUUAAAAAAAAAUUAGCACAAUCCUACUUGAAAGAGACAAAAAGGUGUUCAGUUGUUGUUUUGUCAAGAUUUUGGAAUCAAUGCACCACAGUCUGCUACUCCUGUCCAAAAUCUAUCACACCAAUCGAAACAUACGUGUGUUGCUGUCACUUUUGCUAAUUUUCUAUUUACGGUAAAUUCUCUUGACUGUCUGAUCUGGAUUAAAAAUCCAUUGAUCUGCUUAAAGAUUAUGUUGGUACUCAUAGAUAGUAAAGUCUAAAAAAGAAAAUAAAUUAUGCUAAAGACCUAUUUCAGAAAAGAAAAGAUCCUUUAAAUAGUGAGAAUAAUACCAUUCUUUGUAAAUGCAUUUUUGUCGAGCCUUCGACUUUUGUCGAAAAAGCGAGACAUAGCGAUCAUAC